CAGUCGCCGCGGGAAUACGUAGGGUGCAAGCGUUAAUCGGAAUUACUGGGCGUAAAGCGUGCGCAGGCGGUUAUAUAAGACAGAUGUGAAAUCCCCGGGCUCAACCUGGGAACUGCAUUUGUGACUGUAUAGCUAGAGUACGGCAGAGGGGGAUGGAAUUCCGCGUGUAGCAGUGAAAUGCGUAGAUAUGCGGAGGAACACCGAUGGCGAAGGCAAUCCCCUGGGCCUGUACUGACGCUCAUGCACGAAAGCGUGGGGAGCAAACAGGAUUAGAUACCCCCGUAGUCCCUGUCUCUUAUAC
This 301-nucleotide ribosomal RNA is filed under the name uncultured bacterium. RNAcentral's name for it is "partial 16S ribosomal RNA". It matches the Rfam family "Bacterial small subunit ribosomal RNA", at positions 509 to 807 of the family's 1533-position model. The record is from RNAcentral.